GUCUUUUUGUUAAAAAUUAAAAGUCCAAUCUGCUCACUGAGUUUUAAAGAGCCGCAGUAUUUUGACUGUGCAAAGGUAGCAUAAUCAAUAGUUCUUUAAUUGGGAACUUGUAUGAAAGAUUAGAUGAAAAUUAUAUUUUCUUUAUUUUAAUAAGUUGAAUUUUAAUUUUAAGUGAAAAUGCUUAAUUGAUUUUAAAAGACGAGAAGACCCUAUAGAUUUUUAUUAUAUAAAUAAAUAUUAUAUUUUUAUUUAAAAGUAUAAUUUAAUUGGGGCGAUUUUGUAAUAUAUAAAACUUAUAUUUUAUUAAACCAUAAAUAAUUGAAUUUUUUGAUCUAAAUUUUUUAAAGGAAAGAUUAAAUUACCUUAGGGAUAACAGCGUUAUUUUAUUUAAGAGUUCAUAUCUAUAAUAAAGUUUGCGACCUCGAUGUUGAAUUAAGAUUAUAUAUUGGAGUAGAAAUUAAUAUAAUUAGUCUGUUCGACUAUUAAAUUCU
RNAcentral lists this ribosomal RNA (491 nucleotides) under Sigmatoneura kolbei. RNAcentral's name for it is "partial 16S ribosomal RNA". The stretch from base 369 to 491 matches the Rfam family "Bacterial large subunit ribosomal RNA", at positions 2473 to 2596 of the family's 2925-position model. Lineage: Eukaryota; Metazoa; Arthropoda; Insecta; Psocodea; Psocidae. The record is from RNAcentral.